UACAGAGGGGGCAAGCGUUAUUCGGAAUUAUUGGGCGUAAGGGGCGCGUAGGCGGCUUGGCAAGUGGAAGGUGAAAUCCCUCGGCUUAACCGAGGAACUGCCCUCCAAACUGCUUCGCUUGAGACCGGGAGAGGUGAGUGGAAUUCCCAGUGUAGCGGUGAAAUGCGUAGAUAUUGGGAGGAACACCAGUGGCGAAGGCGGCUCACUGGACCGGUACUGACGCUGAUGCGCGAAAGCGUGGGGAGCAAAUGGG
RNAcentral lists this ribosomal RNA (253 nucleotides) under uncultured bacterium. Its description in RNAcentral is "partial 16S ribosomal RNA". It matches the Rfam family "Bacterial small subunit ribosomal RNA", at positions 524 to 776 of the family's 1533-position model. The record is from RNAcentral.